Molecule: ribosomal RNA, 497 nt
Filed under: uncultured bacterium
Lineage: Bacteria
Description: partial 16S ribosomal RNA
Rfam family: Bacterial small subunit ribosomal RNA
Source: RNAcentral
GAUGAACGCUGGCGGCGUGCCUAAUACAUGCAAGUCGAGCGAACGGACGAGAAGCUUGCUUCUCUGAUGUUAGCGGCGGACGGGUGAGUAACACGUGGAUAACCUACCUAUAAGACUGGGAUAACUUCGGGAAACCGGAGCUAAUACCGGAUAAUAUUUUGAACCGCAUGGUUCAAAAGUGAAAGACGGUCUUGCUGUCACUUAUAGAUGGGUCCGCGCUGCAUUAGCCAGUUGGUAAGGUAACGGCUUACCAAGGCAACGAUGCAUAGCCGACCUGAGAGGGUGAUCGGCCACACUGGAACUGAGACACGGUCCAGACUCCUACGGGAGGCAGCAGUAGGGAAUCUUCCGCAAUGGGCGAAAGCCUGACGGAGCAACGCCGCGUGAGUGAUGAAGGUCUUCGGAUCGUAAAACUCUGUUAUUAGGGAAGAACAUAUGUGUAAGUAACUGUGCACAUCUUGACGGCACCUAAUCAGAAAGCCACGGCUAACUACGUG